Cannabis sativa is the source of this 836-nucleotide long non-coding RNA. RefSeq lists it as uncharacterized. The transcript has 2 exons. The record is from RefSeq and is a predicted model, not a curated record. Lineage: Eukaryota; Viridiplantae; Streptophyta; Magnoliopsida; Rosales; Cannabaceae.
CUGAGAUCAGAUCUGGAAGCAAUGGGGAAGGAACGCCUAGAAGCAUUGAGAUGAAUCCGAGCACAGAUAAGCCUUGUGCAAACGAAGACGAUGAACAAGAUGCUCACGGCGAAUCCUAUGACCGUCAUCACCAGAUUACCCUCGGGCUUAAGAUUCAACAUUUAAUCCUACGGCUGCAUUCCUUAUUGAUGUCGAUGGUGCUGAAACUUGGGCCAAACUAGCAAAAAACACCUGAAAGAUUAAUGAAGAUGCUGUCAUUUUUUCCAGAACUGCAACUUAUAGCUUUGCAGAGGUGAUUAGGGAUGAAACUGGCGCAUUGGUGGAAGCUUUGGGUGUUAAGGAGACACUGAGUUGGGUUAAUCAGAAAGAUUGGAUGAAGGUUGUCAUUGAAACUAAAUCUUAGUGUGGUGCUGUAACGCCCCCGCUUCAAGCCUCCAUUGGUUCCUUACACCCACGGAAUAAUGGCUCUUAUACACGAGUACGCCACUCUGGCUGCUUUCUGGAUCGAUGACUGACCCUACAGACCAACACAAGUGUUUAUCAAUCAAUCUAUUUAAGCCCUCUUCAACUGUGUAGUCCCAUACAUACACAGUCUCAGAAUCAUCCCACUUGACCUUCCCCAGGCGGUGUGGGAUUGCACAGCUUACCCGGUGUUUCCCCUUACGGAUCACGGGACUACUGACUGUCACAGGUGCAAGCGUUACGUAGCUCUAUUCCUAUAGUUUCAUACUUUGGGAGUACUAUUUCUGAUUGUAAGAUGUUGUUAAAUGACUUGAGAGAUGUUUACGUCAAUUUUAUUAGACGUUCUGCAAAUAGUGCGAGCAUCCUAUUUAGUU